This 839-nucleotide ribosomal RNA is filed under the name uncultured bacterium. RNAcentral describes it as "bacterial SSU rRNA". It matches the Rfam family "Bacterial small subunit ribosomal RNA", at positions 128 to 1005 of the family's 1533-position model. The record is from RNAcentral.
GCCCUUUGUACGGAAUAGCCUCUGGAAACGGAGAGUAAUACCGUAUGAGCCCUUCGGGGAAAGAUUUAUCGCCAAAGGAUUAGCCCGCGUUAGAUUAGGUAGUUGGUGGGGUAAUGGCCUACCAAGCCUACGAUCUAUAGCUGGUUUUAGAGGAUGAUCAGCAACACUGGGACUGAGACACGGCCCAGACUCCUACGGGAGGCAGCAGUGGGGAAUCUUGGACAAUGGGGGCAACCCUGAUCCAGCCAUGCCGCGUGAGUGAUGAAGGCCUUAGGGUCGUAAAGCUCUUUCGCCUGUGAAGAUAAUGACGGUAGCAGGUAAAGAAACCCCGGCUAACUCCGUGCCAGCAGCCGCGGUAAUACGGAGGGGGUUAGCGUUGUUCGGAAUUACUGGGCGUAAAGCGCACGUAGGCGGAUCGGAAAGUUGGGGGUGAAAUCCCGGGGCUCAACCCCGAACUGCCUCCAAAACUAUCGGUCUAGAGUUCGAGAGAGGUGAGUGGAAUUCCGAGUGUAGAGGUGAAAUUCGUAGAUAUUCGGAGGAACACCAGUGGCGAAGGGGCUCACUGGCUCGAUACUGACGCUGAGGUGCGAAAGUGUGGGGAGCAAACAGGAUUAGAUACCCUGGUAGUCCACACCGUAAACGAUGAAUGCCAGUCGUCGGGUAGCAUGCUAUUCGGUGACACACCUAACGGAUUAAGCAUUCCGCCUGGGGAGUACGGUCGCAAGAUUAAAACUCAAAGGAAUUGACGGGGACCUACACAAGCAGUGGAGCAUGUGGUUUAAAUCGACAAUCCGCGAGUAACCUUACCAAUUUUUGCAUAUCAUAUUAAAUUGAUACAG